This 465-nucleotide ribosomal RNA is filed under the name uncultured Gammaproteobacteria bacterium. RNAcentral's name for it is "partial 16S ribosomal RNA". It matches the Rfam family "Bacterial small subunit ribosomal RNA", at positions 376 to 813 of the family's 1533-position model. The record is from RNAcentral. Lineage: Bacteria; Pseudomonadati; Pseudomonadota; Gammaproteobacteria.
GGCAGYCCUGAUCWUSCAUAUCGCCUGURUCCUGAUSUACCUCAUGGCUGCUAUGAGCUGCUUGCAGUYGUGAGGGUMGUUAUSUACGUUCAUCCCUGCAUGAUAAUGACGAGUAACCUGCRUGAAGAAGCACCCGGCUAACUCCGUGCCAGCAGCCGCGGUAAUACGGAGGGUGGYGUACCGUURAUCGGAAUUACUGGCCGUAAAGCGCUACGUAGGCGGUGUUGUUAAGCUUAGAUGUGAAAUCCCCAGCGGCUCAACCUUGGAASKGCMUUUAAUACUGCYAGACUAGAGUCCUGAGAGAGGUGAGUGGAAUUCCGWGUGUAGCAGGUGAAAUCGUAGAKAUCUCGGAGGAACACCAGUGCGAAGCAGAGCUCACUGGCUCGAGACUGACGCUCGAKGUGCGAAAGUGUGGGUAGCGAAACAGGAUUAGAUACCCUGGUAGUCCACACCGUAAACGCAUGU